GUCCUCCUCCUCGCGUCCACUGCCGGCCUUUAUGUGUUGAUAUAAAUCAUAAGGCACGCGGUGAAUGCCAAGAGAGGACUC
Molecule: non-coding RNA, 81 nt
Organism: Papilio xuthus (Asian swallowtail)
Lineage: Eukaryota; Metazoa; Arthropoda; Insecta; Lepidoptera; Papilionidae
Source: Rfam